AGUCUCUAGUUUCUCUUCACAUCAUAUAAAUCUUUUACUCUUUACUAAAGAUUUCUGUGGAGAGGAACAGGCAUGUAUGUUGAUGAAUUUUUUGAGGCUCCAUUUUGGUGGGUAU
Molecule: small nuclear RNA, 115 nt
Organism: Rhea pennata
Lineage: Eukaryota; Metazoa; Chordata; Aves; Rheiformes; Rheidae
Product: U5 spliceosomal RNA
Exons: 1
Source: RefSeq, a predicted model, not a curated record